GAUGAACGCUGGCGGCGUGCCUAAUACAUGCAAGUCGAGCGAACAGACGAGGAGCUUGCUCCUCUGAUGUUAGCGGCGGACGGGUGAGUAACACGUGGAUAACCUACCUAUAAGACUGGGAUAACUUCGGGAAACCGGAGCUAAUACCGGAUAACAUGUUGAACCGCAUGGUUCAACAGUGAAAGACGGUCUUGCUGUCACUUAUAGAUGGAUCCGCGCCGCAUUAGCUAGUUGGUAAGGUAACGGCUUACCAAGGCAACGAUGCGUAGCCGACCUGGGAGGGUGAUCGGCCACACUGGAACUGAGACACGGUCCAGACUCCUACGGGAGGCAGCAGUAGGGAAUCUUCCGCAAUGGGCGAAAGCCUGACGGAGCAACGCCGCGUGAGUGAAGAAGGUCUUCGGAUCGUAAAACUCUGUUAUUAGGGAAGAACAAAUGUGUAAGUAACUAUGCACGUCUUGACGGUACCUAAUCAGAAAGCCACGGCUAACUACGUG
This 497-nucleotide ribosomal RNA is filed under the name uncultured bacterium. RNAcentral describes it as "partial 16S ribosomal RNA". It matches the Rfam family "Bacterial small subunit ribosomal RNA", at positions 28 to 507 of the family's 1533-position model. The record is from RNAcentral.